This 253-nucleotide ribosomal RNA is filed under the name uncultured bacterium. RNAcentral's name for it is "partial 16S ribosomal RNA". It matches the Rfam family "Bacterial small subunit ribosomal RNA", at positions 524 to 776 of the family's 1533-position model. The record is from RNAcentral.
UACGUAGGGGGCAAGCGUUGUCCGGAUUUAUUGGGCGUAAAGAGCGUGUAGGCGGCCAAACAGGUCAGCUGUGAAAACUCGAGGCUCAACCUCGAGACGUCGGUUGAAACCGUUUGGCUAGAGUCCGGAAGAGGAGAGUGGAAUUCCCGGUGUAGCGGUGAAAUGCGCAGAUAUCGGGAAGAACACCCGUGGCGAAGGCGGCUCUCUGGGCCGGUACUGACGCUGAGGAGCGAAAGCGUGGGGAGCGAACAGG